CCUGACUGCUAUCGGAUUGAUACUAAGCCAUGCGAGUCUUUGUAGUAAUACAAGGCAGACGGCUCAGUAACGCGUAGUCAACCUACCCUAUGGACGGGAAUAAUCUCGGGAAACUGAGCAUAAUACCCGGCGUACCACCAUUCCUGGAAUGGUUGGUGGUUAAAAUGAUUCGUCGCCGUAGGAUGGGACUGCGACCUAUCAGCUUGUUGGUGAGGUAAAGGCCCACCAAGGCGAUUACAGGUACGGGCUCUGAGAGGAGAAGCCCGGAGAUGGGUACUGAGACACGGACCCAGGCCCUAUGGGGCGCAGCAGGCGAGAAAACUUUGCAAUGUGCGAAAGCACGACAAGGUUAAUCCGAGUGAUUUCUGCUAAAGGAAUCUUUUGCCAGUUCUAAAAAUACUAGUGAAUAAGGGGUGGGCAAGUUCUGGUGUCAGCCGCCGCGGUAAAACCAGCACCUCAAGUGGUCAGGAGGAUUAUUGGGCCUAAAGCAUCCGUAGCCUGCUCUGUAAGUUUUCGGUUAAAUCUAUAUGCUCAACGUAUAGGCUGCCGAAAAUACUGCAGUGCUAGGAAGUGGGAGAGGUAGACGGUACUUGAUAGGAAGGGGUAAAAUCCUUUGAUCUAUCGAUGACCACCUGUGGCGAAGGCGGUCUACCAGAACACGUUCGACGGUGAGGGAUGAAAGCUGGGGGAGCAAACCGGAUUAGAUACCCGGGUAGUCCCAGCUGUAAACGAUGCAGACUCGAUGAUGCAUUGGCAUAUAGCCAGUGCAGUGUCGCAGGGAAGCCGUUAAGUCUGCCGCCUGGGAAGUACGUACGCAAGUAUGAAACUUAAAGGAAUUGGCGGGGGAGCACCACCAAGGGGUGAAGCCUGCGGUUC
Molecule: ribosomal RNA, 876 nt
Filed under: uncultured archaeon
Lineage: Archaea
Description: bacterial SSU rRNA
Rfam family: Archaeal small subunit ribosomal RNA
Source: RNAcentral